RNA transcript from Hordeum vulgare subsp. vulgare (domesticated barley), 1423 nucleotides. It is a transcript of the gene named tropinone reductase-like 3, with no coding region annotated. The transcript has 8 exons. The record is from RefSeq and is a predicted model, not a curated record. Lineage: Eukaryota; Viridiplantae; Streptophyta; Magnoliopsida; Poales; Poaceae.
UCGGGUCGCCCGGUCCGAGCGGAUAUUCUAGCCACGCCGUUCUACUUGCCUUGCUUCCAUCGCCGCGUCUCUCACAUAAACGCACGCUUCCAUCGGGACAAGACAGCCGCGAGCAGCAAAAGGGAGCACGGCGAGGCCGGCGAUGGAGGUCAAGUGCCGGCGUCUGGAGGGGAAGGUGGCCGUCGUGACGGCUUCCACGCAGGGCAUCGGACUCGCCAUCGCCGAGCGCCUCGGCCGGGAGGGUGCCGCGGUCGUCAUCUCCUCCCGCAAGCAGAAAAACGUGGACGAGGCGGUGGAGGGCCUCAGGGCAAAGGGGAUCACUGUUGUGGGGGCCGUCUGCCACGUCUCCAACGCCGAACAGCGCAAGCACCUCAUCGACACGGCCGUCAAGAAUUUUGGACAUAUUGAUAUUGUUGUCUCCAAUGCUGCUGCAAAUCCUUCUGUGGAUAGCAUACUAGAGAUGAAAGAACCAGUUCUUGACAAGCUAUGGGAUAUUAAUGUCAAAGCAUCUAUUCUUCUACUGCAGGACGCUGCACCACAUUUGAGGAAGGGAUCAUCUGUGAUAAUAAUUUCUUCAAUUGCUGGCUAUAAUCCUGAAGCAGCUUUAUCGAUGUAUGGUGUUACAAAGACCGCCCUUUUUGGCCUUACGAAGGCUCUUGCUACUGAGAUGGGCCCAAAUACCCGUGUUAACUGUAUAGCUCCUGGUUUUGUUCCUACACGUUUUGCUGGUUUCCUCACAACUAAUGAGACCAUUAGAAAUGAGCUCAUCGAGAGGAGCAUACUUAAGAGAUUGGGUAGCGUGGAAGACAUGGCUUCAGCCGCCGCUUUCCUGGCAUCCGACGAUGCAUCCUUCAUUACAGCUGAAACAAUUGUUGUUGCUGGAGGAACACAAUCAAGACUAUAGAUCUGGCUGAAGUCUUGAGUGCCAAUCAGCUACAGAAUUGCGGUAAACUGGCAGAGUAUGGGAUUGCCGCAGCGUUUCGGUGGUUUAGUUAUUAUUUUGAGCCAAUGAAACAUGCAGGAUCGGUCUUGGAGAAGUCUGGAUGCGUUCUUGUGAAGCUUCGAAGUUUUCUUCGGCAAUGGGUUGUGCUUUGCGACGUCACUCAGGAGGGAGUGCUUCGGCAAUUCAUCGCUAAGCUGGAUAAAUUUCGAGGAGAACUUCUUCGCAUCACCUGGACGUCUUUGCAUGCCUCUGUCUGAAGCAAAUAAAAUCUUAGUUCUUCAGUGUUUUUUGCGUCUGUAGUCUGUACUGGUGAUGAUGCUGCUGGUGAUCCUUAGUAGUUCCUUUUAUGUCUGGGACCUGUUGUUUCUUUUAGUGUUGCUUUCUGGGCUGUAUAACUGAUUCUCUGUGGCUUCAUUAGCAAUGAAAUGGAGCAGGGGGGAACCCCUUUUAUUCAAAAAAAUAAAAAAUCUUCAUGCCUUA